Non-coding RNA from Coffea arabica (coffee), 1136 nucleotides. The record is from RefSeq and is a predicted model, not a curated record. NCBI's taxonomy places the organism in Eukaryota, Viridiplantae, Streptophyta, Magnoliopsida, Gentianales, Rubiaceae.
GAUAGAUUUAACUUUUUAGGCUGUGAUCUUUUUUUUUUCCCAAUUAUCUUUGCAGCUCACCUGAAAUUCAGCUUUCAAGUUAUAUUCUAUUCAUUGGUUUCACAAAGUAGCUAUAGGUAUUAUUUCUUAGUUUUGUCUUUUAUCUUUACUAUUGCCUUCUUAACACGGAUGGUUAUGCAUCCAAGUUAUACAUGGUACUGGGAGAUCCUGUUUGAAUUGUGCUUGGAAUAGAUGUCUUUGUCUUUACUUUUCCAUUGCAGUAGUUGUGACUUUGUAUUUAGAGUAUGCAUAGAGUGGUGUAGUUGCAUUUACAAGUGUGGUUAACACUUAUUGCUAAAAUGCCUUGUAGGUGUCUGAGUUUUGCAGCGGAACCAAAAGUUUUUUUGCUGUAAUUUGCUUCAGUCCAAUAUUGAGUUUUUGGUUGAGCUUACCAUGUCUGGUGUAUCAAAUUCGAAGAAGUCCUUGCUCUACAAAUUACAUUUGUGCAGUGCAAGAAAUUCUGAUACACAAUGAGGAAAAAGUGAUUGCCAAAAAAAUAGAGGAGUUCACAAAGAGAACUACACGCAGUUGGUUUCUUCAGGUUCAGAUAUGGAAAAUCUUUUGCAAUGUGUCUUGCCUACGGUUUUUCAUAUAAAUACUCCGAGAAGAUUAUUCUCAUUGCUUAAAGGGAUAAUAGGGUUGUUCUAGAUCUUUUCUCUCUGCUUGAUCGUCUUUAGCUCCAGAAGCAAGGAAAUUUGCAUAAUCUAUCUCCAAACUAUCUGAUGCAGCCAAGAGAAGAUCAUCACCGAGAAACAUUGCGGGCAAUUUUGCUUCCUUGGGUUUCGUCCUUCUUCAUCUCAGGGGUAUGUUCAAUUAUUGACUCACAAAGACGAUCCAUAUGAACAUUAAAAGUAGAAGUGUGAAGAUGCUCAUGGGUUAUUUGCAUUAAUAUCAUCAAGAAAUUUUGUCAGAUCUCGUUGCUUUUGGUUUCUCCUGAGGUAUUUGCUUUUAGCCUUUCACGGGAACGAGAGGAGAGUCUGAAUGAAGCUGGAGCUCUCUGAUGCUAUUAGUCAUUGAAAGUCUAGAAUCAUUUUGCUUGUGGCCAAUUAGAAAUACUUUUUUCUUUUCUUUGUCAAUUUGUUCAAUUGGCACUGGUA